UACGUAGGGGGCAAGCGUUGUCCGGAAUCAUUGGGCGUAAAGCGCGUGUAGGCGGCUCGGUAAGUCCGCUCUGAAAAGUCCAGGGGCUCAACCCUGGGAUGCGGGUGGAUACUGCCGGGCUCGAGUCCGGAAGAGGCGAGUGGAAUUCCCGGUGUAGCGGUGAAAUGCGCAGAUAUCGGGAGGAACACCAAUGGCGAAGGCAGCUCGCUGGGACGUGACUGACGCUGAGACGCGAAAAGCGUGGGGGAGCAAACAGG
Molecule: ribosomal RNA, 257 nt
Filed under: uncultured bacterium
Lineage: Bacteria
Description: partial 16S ribosomal RNA
Rfam family: Bacterial small subunit ribosomal RNA
Source: RNAcentral